Molecule: ribosomal RNA, 445 nt
Filed under: uncultured bacterium
Lineage: Bacteria
Description: partial 16S ribosomal RNA
Rfam family: Bacterial small subunit ribosomal RNA
Source: RNAcentral
GUGAGGAAUAUUGGUCAAUGGGCGGGAGCCUGAACCAGCCAAGUCGCGUGAAGGAAGAAGGAUCUAUGGUUCGUAAACUUCUUUUGCAGGGGAAUAAAGUGCAGGACGUGUCCUGUUUUGUAUGUACCCUGAGAAUAAGGAUCGGCUAACUCCGUGCCAGCAGCCGCGGUAAUACGGAGGAUCCAAGCGUUAUCCGGAUUUAUUGGGUUUAAAGGGUGCGCAGGCGGGUUGAUAAGUCAGCGGUGAAAGUUUGCAGCUUAACUGUAAAAUUGCCGUUGAAACUGUCGAUCUUGAGUGCAAAUGAGGUAAGCGGAAUGUGUUGUGUAGCGGUGAAAUGCUUAGAUAUAACACAGAACACCGAUUGCGAAGGCAGCUUACUGGGAUGCAACUGACGCUCAUGCACGAAAGCGUGGGGAUCAAACAGGAUUAGAAACCCUGGUAGUCC